UAUCUGUCUACAGUUUAUCACACUUAUUUAUUGUAAUUAACCUCUUAACAUGCCCAUAUGAUAUUUAAUAUCUGGCUGUGUUUAUGAAUAGUUAUAGGUUCAAUAUAGACACCCAAUAUACCCACUAAACAUUAGACGUCUUAUGGACGUGCAGAUCAUGUCUAUAUUGCGUCGGUCGGUCCAAGACCAAUUCUGUACGUCUACACGACGUGCAAACUAGGUCCACUAUUUGGACGUCUAACUAUGACCCCACUUGGACGUCAAUAUGCAGUUAAACAUUUGAACGUCGGACUAGGUCACUUUUUUGGACGUCAUGGGGACGUCUAAUACAGGUGCAGGAAAUUAACGUUAUUUAAGAAUAUAUUUAUUUUUAAAUGUAUGUCAACAUUGUUGUUAUCAAUAUUGUUAAUCACUAUGAAUAUAGAUUAUUUAUGAUUAAGCAUCAUUUAUUUCUAAAUAUUUAUUUCAGUAUUAUAUUUUUGAUCUAUUUAAUUAAUUAAUGAAUGUAGGUAUUUAUUUACGUAUGUUUUUAUUUUUAUUUGGAAAUGCAAUUUAUGUGGAAAAUUGUUAAGUUGAUUUCAACCAGUCAAUGCCACUCUGAUUUGCUGAGACCGCACGUCAUCAUAAACUCCACUCUUGCUGAGGCAAAAACCCGCUGAACAUUUUUUGGCUGCUGCAGUAGCUCAGUUCAGCUCGCUCAGCUCAGCUCCGGACUGGACUCAGCUGCCACUAUGCUAUAAGGUAAGACGAUAUGUAUAAGUUAGUGUAUUUGUAGUGUUAGUUGUUUUAGCUCUGUGGUCUUAAAUCAUCUGAACCUGCUGACGUUGCCUCUCUUCCCAGGCAGUUAGCUAACUAGCUAGCUAGCUAACGAUAGCUAAACAGUAGCUUAAAAUGGAAUUGGAAUUACUUUUGAGAACGACCGUAUUGCCAAUAAUAUUUACUGUAACCGAAGCUUUAACAUAGAAGCAUUGUCCGGUCAUUAAGUCAAUGCACUAACCAGAGCUAGGCUGAUAAGCCAAUCUAAGCUAAAUCAAAGAACCGUCUUUGGCUAAAUUCGCUAAGCUAGCCUUAAGUUAUAUAAGUUUGUGGCGCCCACAAUUAACCUAGGCAACUGGGGGCAAUAUCAAGUGCAUUCUGAAUAGCGUGAAGAAGUAAGUUUAUGUUAAUAUUACAUAAAUAAGGCAAUUUAAAUAGUUUGUUGUGGGAAGAAAAUUAUUAAAAUAGCUUAAUAUGAUGUGUGAGAAUUAAAACGGCAGGAUAAUUCUCGUCAGGUGUUAAAUGUGUAUUCCCACCGUUAGCUUAGCGUUAGCUAAGCCAUAGUGUGAAGAAGUAAGUUUAUGUUAAUAUUACAUAAAUAAGGCAAUUUAAAAUAGUUUGUUGUGGGAAGAAAAUUAUUAAAAUAGCUUAAUAUGAUGUGUGAGAAUUAAAACAGCACGAUAAUUCUCGUCAGGUGUUAAUUGUGUAUUCCCGCCUUUAACUUAGCGUUAGCUUAUUGUUAGCUUAGCGUUAGCUAAGCCAUAGCAUGAAGAAGUAAGUUUGUUAAUAUUACAUAAAUAAGGCAAUUUAAAAUAGUUUGUUGUGGGACAAAAAUAAAUUAAAUAGCUUAAUAUGAUGUGUGAGAAUUAAAACGGCAGGAUAAUUCUCGUCAGGUGUUAAAUGUGUAUUCCCGCCGUUAGCUUAGCGUUAGCUAGCUUAGCUGAGAUUUCUAAUUUGUCUUUUUCUACUUGUGCAGAUGGAGUCAUGAAAUGUGACGGGACAGGCACCUAGGACUUCAUACAGAUGUGUACUUCGGAGCAUCUCAAACAUGCACCACAAAGACCUGGAGGACACACCGCUGUCUCUCUGGACCUAGAAUCUUAAUGAAAGUAUAAUGAUGUUAAGGGAAGGUGUAAUGGAAAGGUGUAAUGUAAAGUUGUAAUGGUGUUAAGGGAAGGUGUAGUGGAAAGGUGUGAUAGUGUUGAGGGAAGGUGUACUAGUGUUGAGGGAAGGGGUAAUGUUAAAUGUGUAAUAGUGUUAAGAGAAGGUAUAAUAUUGUUAAGGGAAGGUGUAAUGUAAAGGUGUAAUAGUUUUGAGGGAAGGUGUAAUAUUGUUAAGGGAAGGUGUAAUGUUAAAGGUGUAAUAGUUUUGAGGGAAGGUGUAAUAUUGUUAAGGGAAGGUGUAGUGGAAAGGUGUAAUAGUGUUAAGGGAAGGUAUAAUAUUGUUAAGGGAAGGUGUAAUGUUAAAGGUGUAAUAGUGUUGAUGGAAGGUGUAAUAGUGUUGAGGGAAGGUAUAAUAUUGUUAAGGGAAGGUGUAAUGUAAAGCUGUAAUAGUUUUAAGGGAAGGUAAAUGUUUAGUGAAAUUGUUAUGGUGUGAAUCUAAGGUGUAUGUUAUGUUGAUGUAAAAUAAAGGCAUUAACCCCAAA
Astyanax mexicanus (Mexican tetra) is the source of this 2401-nucleotide long non-coding RNA. RefSeq lists it as uncharacterized. The transcript has 2 exons. The record is from RefSeq and is a predicted model, not a curated record. NCBI's taxonomy places the organism in Eukaryota, Metazoa, Chordata, Actinopteri, Characiformes, Acestrorhamphidae.